This 484-nucleotide ribosomal RNA is filed under the name uncultured bacterium. RNAcentral describes it as "partial 16S ribosomal RNA". It matches the Rfam family "Bacterial small subunit ribosomal RNA", at positions 30 to 507 of the family's 1533-position model. The record is from RNAcentral.
AUUGAACGCUGGCGGCAGGCCUAACACAUGCAAGUCGAGCGGAUGAAGGGAGCUUGCUCCUGGAUUCAGCGGCGGACGGGUGAGUAAUUCCUAGGAAUCUGCCUGUUAGUGGGGGAUAACGUCCGGAAACGGGCGCUAAUACCGCAUACGUCCUGACGGCGAACGUGGGGGAUCUUCGGACCUCACGCUAUCAGAUGAGCCUAGGUCGGAUUAGCUAGUUGGUGGGGUAAAGGCCUACCAAGGCGACGAUCCGUAACUGGUCUGAGAGGAUGAUCAGUCACACUGGAACUGAGACACGGUCCAGACUCCUACGGGAGGCAGCAGUGGGGAAUAUUGGACAAUGGGCGAAAGCCUGAUCCAGCCAUGCCGCGUGUGUGAAGAAGGUCUUCGGAUUGUAAAGCACUUUAAGUUGGGAGGAAGGGCAGUAAGUUAAUACCUCGCUGUUUUGACGUUACCAAAAGAAUAAGCACCGGCUAACUUCGUG